Molecule: long non-coding RNA, 4344 nt
Organism: Pan troglodytes (chimpanzee)
Lineage: Eukaryota; Metazoa; Chordata; Mammalia; Primates; Hominidae
Exons: 3
Source: RefSeq, a predicted model, not a curated record
CGAGGGCGAAGAGGAACCUGUGGGCCUCGGGGGAUCCCAGGGGGCCAGACCAGUGUUCCCCAUUUGUGGGGGCAGACGCGUGGGCGCAUCGCGGGCAGGAGGGGCCUGACAUGCAUUUGCGGGCCGUGGACCCUGGCGGGGGCUGGGAGGACAGGCGUGGGGUCCCAGCAGUGAAGCGGGUUCCAGAGGCGCAGGAGUGGGUAGGCGAGGCUGGUGGCCCUGGGCCCGGAGUCUGCAGGCCGCGCUCCUGUCCUGCCGCUGAGGGACCCGGUUACCAACCCUCAUGUAGCUCAGUUUGCCCGUGUGUCCCGGUGCUAACACACAGUUCUCGGGAGACGUUCCCCAUUCCCAGAGGAGUAGUGCGAAACGCGUGUGCCUCUAGUCUUAAGCUGGGCGUUUGUAUUAGUUGAGUUUCCCGGUGUCUAUUUAGCAAGUGAAGUUUCUGGUUCCCUCCUUCACUGUGUGACCUGCCUAGUCCUCCUGGAUUGCAUUUAUGGAAGUUUAUACAAGACCUAGUUUCCAUGGAGGAACUCACUGCUUCCGCGAGGGAGAUGGGGUACUGGAUGAUGGUCUUCAGCCUUAAGGCUAUGUUUCCAGUGUCCUCUGGGUGUUUCCAAGAGCAACAAGAAACGAAUAAAUCUCUGGUGACUUUUUGAAAAAAUAGUAUCUCUUGUUGCAAGAAAUGGUCCAUCUGUGAUUUCAAGUCUCUCGCUUGAGUGAAUUGGAUGGAAGUGGUGAAUUUCAGCCAAAGUGGCCAAAGAAAUCCUGUUCCUGUGAUAAUGACGCCAUCAGCCUCUGCACCUCUGUCUUCCCUUCUGCCACAUGUUGCCUGUUCUCCGUGACUUUGGUAAGAGCUUCCUUGUGUAUGAGGAUGAUGUCCAGGAUGUUGGUCUGGUGUCCCUGAGACAGCACUAACAGGUCCAUGGCUGGGUCCACGUCCUUCCUGGACUCAUUGGCAAGGAGCUUACUGAUGUUCUUGAAGGCAUCUCUGGUGAAGUGGAUGGCCUAGUCAAGUUCCAAGGCCUGGCUGAGGCUGAAGAAAAACUGGCCACCUUCUGAUGCUCUUUCUAAAAGCCUGUCACUGUCAUCUGCUUGCUUGUCAACUCAUUGGCUGUGAGGAUGAGCUGAGUGGCCUGUGUCCAUCUUCUUGGGGAAGCAUUUGAAGCCAUCAGUCUUGCUCUCCCACCCCUAAAGGUUGAUGGUCACCACCUGGGGGUGUGCUGAGGGUCAGAAAGAAGCCAGCACUCACUAUCUCAUCCUUCUCAGCCUUCCUCUUGCACUCUGUCCAGGCUGUCUCUUCAGUGUUGGUCGGGUAUGUCAGAAAGCGAUGGAAGAUGUGGCACUGGGCCCACACCCAGAAGCUGGCCAUGUGGUUGGCUCAUCCACCAGAAUGGAUGCUCUGGGUGCUCUUUAAGCCAGCUUGGCCUUGCCUGGCAUGCACAGGCCCCAGGUUCCGACAUGUUGCUCCGAGUGAGCUUGUCCUGCCUUGGGCCAAAUUCUCUCAGGCCAGGGCCACAAAAGGCUGAGUCCCACGGGUGGUAAUCCUGGCUGCUUUCUGCACUUCCACAUAAAGACCUCCUGAAGAUGGCCUGUGAUCUACCUCUUUGCAACCAAGAAGCCCACAGUGCCAUAUGAACCCUUAGGCAUGGACUGGAGCCCCUGAGGAAGCACACACCCUGCUCCUGAGCCUGCUGCCCAUUUUCUCUGUGUGGCUCCAUUUGUGUCACAGUUGUUGCACAGACUUGUGCAUGCCAGGCAAGGCCAAGCUGGCUCAAAAAGAAACCGGCCCCCUCUGCAAGGUUUUGCCAGGAGCCGGUGGACCGGCCACAAACCUCACUUGCUGCCGGUCAGGUUACAUCAGUUCUUCUACCCUAGAGGUAGGGCCCCAGUGCCAUAUGCUUUUCCUCAGGCCUCUGCUCUAUCAGUCAUCAGGUGGCAACCACUCAGGCUGUGGGAACCUGGCCAUCCCUCCUUCCUUGAGUAGCUGAGGUUGCUGGCUUGUCUGCCUGCUACAGGUGCAGCCUUGCAGAUGUGGCUAGUUGCUCUGAGCCAGCUUGGCCUUGCCUGGCAUGCAUAGGCCCCAGGUACUGACACUCUGCUCCGAGUCAGCUUGUCCUGCCUUGGGUCAAAUUCUAAGUCUGGCCAGGGCCACAGAAGGCCCAGUCCCCUGGGUGCUAAUCUUGGCUGCUUUCUGCACUUGAUCAUAAAGUCCUCCUCAAGAAAGCCUGUGGUCUGCCUGUUGGCGACCAAGAAACCUACAGUGUCAUACGAGCCCUGAGGCAUGGACUGGAGCCACAAAGGCAGUGCACGGCCCGUUCCUGAGCCUGCUGAUCAUUUCCUCUAUAUGGCUCCAUUUGUAGCACACUUGUUGCAGCGAGGCUUGUGUAUGCCAGGCAAGGCCAAGCUGGCUCAAAGAGCAAGCAGCCACCUCUGCAAGGGUGUGCCAGGAGCAAAUGGACCAGCUGCCAACCUCACUCACUGCCAGAUGUGGUACAUCAGUUCUUCUACCCUAAAGGUGGGGCCAAGAGGCAGACCACAGGCCGUCUUGAGGAGGACUUUAUGUUCAAGUGCAGAAAGCAGGCAGGAUUACCACCCUGGGGACUCACCCUUCUGUGGCCCACAGUGCCAUAUGAGCCCUGAGGCAUGGACUGGUGCCAUCUGCUUUAUACAAAAAUUAACUUAAGAUGGAUUAAAGAGUUAAAUAUGCCACCUGCUUUUCCUCAGGGCUCUGCUCCAUCAGCCAUCAGGAGGCAGCCACUCAGGCUGUGGAAACCUGGCCAUCCUGGCUUCCUUCUGUGGGUGAGGUUGGUGGCUGGUCCACCUGCUCCAGGCACACCCUUGCAGAGGUGGCUGCUUGCUCUUUGAGCCAGCUUGGCCUUGCCUCGCAUGCACAGGCCCCACCUACUGACACACUGCUCUGAGUGACCUUGUCCUGCCUUGGGCUAAAUUCUCUCAGGCCAGGGCCACAGAAGGCCGAGUCCCCUGGGUGGUAAUCCUGGCUGCUUUCUGCACUUGUACAUAAAGUCUUCCUCAAGACGGCCUGUGGUCUGCCUCUUGGCAACAAAGAAGACUGCAGUGCCAUAGGAGCCCUGAGGCAUGCACUGGAUCCCCAAAGGCAGUGCACACCCUGCUCCUGAGCCUCCUGCUCCUUUCCUAUAUAUGGCUCCAUUUGUAGCACCGUUGUUACACCGAGGCUUGUGCAUGCCAGGCAAGCCCAAGCUGGCUCAAAGAGCAACCAGCCACCUCUGCAAGGGUGUGCCAGGAACAGGUGGGCCAAUCACCAACCUCACAUGCUGCCAGUCACAAUACAUCAGUUCUUCUGCCCUAGAGUUAGGGCCCCAGUGCCAUCUGCUUUUCCUCAGGACUCUGCUCCAUCAGCCAUCAGGUGGCAGCUACUCAUGCUGUUGGAACCUGGCCAUCUGGGCUUCCUUGAGUGGGUGAGGUUGCUGGCUUGUCCGCCUGCUUAAAGGUACUAUGAGGAUAGAACACUGAAAUAAUAAUAAUGCAUUUUUCAAACAAAUUAAUUCCUCAAUUUUCAAACAAAUUGAAGACAAAGGAAACUCAUGAUUCAAAUGAAUACAUAUGGCUCAUUUUAUUCAAUAUUUAUGCUUACAGAAUAUAUGCAAAUAAGACAUUCCCAUGAUUAAUAUUAGUAUUUAAGACUGAUAAACUUUUGAGUGGGCAGUUAAAGCUUAUCUUCUACUAUUUUCUAACUUCAGAAAUGCUUUUGUUUGAAAGUUGGGUGACAAAGUUUCAAAGAGAUUAAGUCCCAAUAUUCCUAUUUUAAAUCUCUCAGCUUGUGCAGGCAGGGCAGGUAAAUAUGAAGUUUUUAAGGAUAGAAGGAUCCUGAGAGAUAGCAGAAUAUGUCUGCUACAUAACAGGUACUCAGGUUAUGUUUGAUGAAUAAAUGGAAUGAAAGAAUGGAUAAAUACAGUUGGGGAGUUCAAUAUUUUUAAAUAAACUCCUAUAAAGCAAUAUUUUUGCAAUAGUAAUAUUUAUAUGUUAUUUUUAUUUAAGAAUACAAUUAAAAUGAAAUGAUUAAUCUAUCAUUGUUUGCAUAAAUUGAAUGAGUACAUAAGCAAAACAUAUGUACAUAAUAAAAUAUAUAGAUAAUAAAAUCUGGAAACAGAUAAAAAUAUUCCCUUUUUACUUCUGAAGAGGCUAAAAGUUCAAAGAUGAUAACAAUACACUCAAUAAUGAUAAAAAUAGAAAGUGAGAAAUUAUUUUUAAUAUUGUAAGAUUCAUAUUCCUGUCUUCCCAAGGAUUAUUCCUUUAUUAAUAAACUUUACUAGAAGUUUUGUACAUGCUCACUGCAGCAAUCACAGAUAAGAAAAAGGAAAAGAA